ACUCCGAUGCAAAGACAACGUGGCAGGAAGCAGCUUUCAGUUUUGUUUCUGUGUGGGAGUGUGGGAGGGGAGAUAUUCCACCACAGACUGCUCAACAUGGCGGUACCCGUCCACAUGCUGUUCAACUACUGCAGAUGAUCCACAGCCUCCUUCAAGAAGUUACUCUUUCAGAGCAGUCCAGAAUCUGAUCGGUUGAGUCAAAACAGCACUAGAGUUAAACAAUGUCAAGGGAUUAAUAAAAGGAGGAUGAGGAAACAAAGUUGUACAAAGAGACAACAGACGGGUUCGUCCUCCCAUUCUAAACCUAAAAAGAAGCAAGCCAAGAGACAAAACUGCCCCAAAUCAUCCACAGGACAAAAAAAAAAGCCUCAAAAUAAAUCCCAACUUCCUGUUACAUGUGGCUUUAAAGAGGGGCUCCUGUAUUUGAAGAAAUAUUGUGACAAGCAGAAGUGCAUUUCCAGUGAGAGCCAGUGGUUCACACCCCCUGAGUUUGAGAGGUUUGGGAUGAAGGAGAAGCACAAAAAGUGGAAGACCAGCAUCCUUUGCAAAGGGAUUCCACUCCAGAAACUCAUAGAGGAUGGAUUUCUCUUAAAUAUAAGCUUUAUUAAAAGCAAGGUUCAGGAUGCAAAGCAGAAGAAAAAACGCCACGUGGGUUUGAAAAAACAGGUUGUAGAAUCACCUGAUAAGAUCGAAGACAAGCAAGAUGAAGAUGAAGAUGAAGAUGAAGAUGACGCUGUUGACAUGAACAUGUUUGAAGGUCCAGUCCUUCCUGUUACCUGUGGAUCUGAUUCUGGCGUUCUACACAAAUAUCGAUUUUCCAAAGGGUAUUGUGGGAGAUGCAUAAGAACAGAGAGCCACUGGCUGACGCCUGAGGAUUUCACCAAACUGAGCAAAACAGAUGGAACAUGGAAGAAAGACAUUGUGUCCCAUGGAAUACCUCUUGGGAAGCUUAUAACGAAAAGCAUUUUGCAACCGCAUACAGCCAACUGUGACUGUGAGAUCUGCGAAGAACCAUAUCAGAACCAACUAAAUGAUGACGUGUGUUUCAUCUGUGACUCUGAGGGAGAUCUCGUGUGUUGUGAUGAGUGUCCACGAGCUUUUCAUUCACACUGUCACCUACCAGCUGUACCUGAAGACUCACCUGGGAGCCAGUGGAGCUGCACGUUUUGUGUGAUGAAGAAGAGGGAAAGUUCGGGUCAAAAGACCCAACAGGAUGUUUUGAGCAGUCCAGUCUCUCGGUACACACUGACAAUAACACUGCCAGUACCUGCUGUUACACCUGCUACACGAGAGCAUGAGCGACCCCUGUGCCAAAGGUCCAGGAUUCAGUGAGAACAUCUGUGGCCCCAUGAUGCUGGGCAGAGUGAAGCUGAACUUGCAGAAUAAUGAUUAUCAAACAGUGCGAGAGUUUGUCUCUGAUAUUGAAUACGUUUUCCACCACUGCACCGCCAAAAGGGAUAAUGACUUCAGUAGAAUGACCUCUAGGCUCACAGAACUGCUUGAAAUCAUCUUUAAGCUGCUGUAACAUCAGACCACUAGUACAAGUGUAACUGUGAAUAAUAUCCAGUCUUUUUCAAUCAAUAUCCCACAUACAGUAAUGUGUACAUUUGUACUUUUAAAAAAGAUUAAUGGCAUACAUGAGAAGUGCAGCCUUCUGUAUUUCAAUACAGUAACUGUGAUGCAAACUGUUGUCAGUUUAGAGCGGGUAAUACUAACAGACUGCAGUGUUAUAUUGACAAUAUGACUAAGCAUUUUCCUGUCCUGUUUGUGAACAAUGACUCAAGGACAUCAGGCAUGCCAGAGGUUUUUCCCCCUGCUGCCUGGCCAAGGCCAGAAUCUCCUGUCAUGUUGAAGAGGUUCUUUGGCCUGCUCCAGACCAAAAACAGGAUACUGGGGGGCAGAAUAAUUAUUUUUGAUGUUGUUUGCUGUAUUGAAUUGUACUGUACUCUACAGUACGUUAAAUUAAGAUAUACAACAGUUGGGGAGUACCACACUUAUUACCGUUUUUUGUAGUAUUGUUUUAAAUUGAUCUCAUCAGUGUGUAAAACUGUGUUGAAGUGUGUGUGUUUGUGACUGUUUGUGUGUCAUAUCUGAGAGCAAAGUUUGGUUUUUCAGCAAGAUUGAGUUGUUUUGACUGGAUAGCUUCAUUAUGAUCUAAAUAUAGGACGUCUGGGGAAUUGAGUUAAAGGCCGUGUUGCAAGGUUCAUUUUUUACAGAAUAUGUGCAAUUUACUUGUUGGUAAUAAACAUUUUAACUGUUA
Carassius auratus (goldfish) is the source of this 2260-nucleotide RNA transcript. It is a transcript of the gene named nuclear body protein SP140-like protein, with no coding region annotated. NCBI's taxonomy places the organism in Eukaryota, Metazoa, Chordata, Actinopteri, Cypriniformes, Cyprinidae. The transcript is spliced from 14 exons. The record is from RefSeq and is a predicted model, not a curated record.